Long non-coding RNA from Cervus elaphus (red deer), 964 nucleotides. RefSeq lists it as uncharacterized. The record is from RefSeq and is a predicted model, not a curated record. The transcript is spliced from 4 exons. NCBI's taxonomy places the organism in Eukaryota, Metazoa, Chordata, Mammalia, Artiodactyla, Cervidae.
GGGUCAGGGGCCGUCGGGGCGGGGCUACGGGCCCUCACCGGCUGACUCUAGUGCCUGCGGGUGGCACUACAAACUAGUUUGUCCCAGCGUCGCGGAUAGGUCUUCUGGCGCGGGAACUAUCCUACGGAAGGAUCGGGAGAUAAACGACUAGUGAUGGAGGUGAGGUAACUGAGGCUGUCAGAGAGCGAAACUCAUUUGCGCACAGCUGCGGACAGCUGAGAAGUGGUCAAGUCGUAACUGGAACGCAGAAAAAGUUUAAUGAAGACAAUGACUAUCAGUUACCUUUUAUUCUUCAUGAAGUAGCUGAAUGAGAGCAGGACAUGAUUGGAGGAACUGUGAGGAAAUGGAGGCCCAGAGUUAUCAAUGGAAGAGGGUGGCAAUGUAAUAUUUUCCCUGUGUAAGGCCACUAAAGGGCUUCAUCCUCCCAGGGGAGGUGGAGUGAGUCUGAACUCCACGAGGGCAGAGUACAGGUACUGGAUACCCCCGGCUCUCCAGCGUCUGUAGAGCACGUGGCACAUAGUAGGCAUUCAGAAAUGAUUUGUGAAACAAACGAAUGAGACAGUUGCUGCCCUACGUUCGUAAUCAGUACCAAGGAGGAGAAGAUCAAGGGACUCUAGCCAUGCGGGGAAGUCCGGCUUCUGACCUAGCCCAGUGUCCUGCUUACAUGAAGGCCAUGAGAAGGGCCAGGAAGAGUCAUGCCUUGAGUCACCGCUCACAGGGACCAGAACACACACAGGACCUGUAGGCUCGGCCAGGGAAUUCAGAUACUCCCCCCAACCGCUGGCAGCCAUAAAGGGACUGAAGAGAAUCACAAGGUCAGAAGUGAAUUGCAAACGGUUUGUCUUAUGCACUGAGCCAGGAUUUGACUCAACGUCAGCGGAUGGGUCACGGGUCAAGAUGCUGGACUGAACUGUCCACUUCUCCUCCUAAGAACAUUCCCUCAAGUGCUGGACCCAUACUGACC